CGGACGGGUGAGUAAUGUCUGGGAAACUGCCUGAUGGAGGGGGAUAACUACUGGAAACGGUAGCUAUACCGCAUAACGUCGCAAGACCAAAGAGGGGGACCUUCGGGCCUCUUGCCAUCGGAUGUGCCCAGAUGGGAUUAGCUAGUAGGUGGGGUAACGGCUCACCUAGGCGACGAUCCCUAGCUGGUCUGAGAGGAUGACCAGCCACACUGGAACUGAGACACGGUCCAG
This 231-nucleotide ribosomal RNA is filed under the name uncultured bacterium. Its description in RNAcentral is "partial 16S ribosomal RNA". It matches the Rfam family "Bacterial small subunit ribosomal RNA", at positions 99 to 334 of the family's 1533-position model. The record is from RNAcentral.